UUCCGGUUGAUCCUGCCGGACCUGACUGCUAUCGGAUUGGUACUAAGCCAUGCGAGUCAUUGUAGCAAUACAAGGCGGACGGCUCAGUAACACGUAGUCAACCUAACUCGUGGACGUGGAUAACCUCGGGAAACUGAGAAUAAACCACGAUAGAUCAUAGUGCCUGGAAUGGCUUAUGGUCCAAACAGUUUACUGCCAUGGGAUGGGACUGCGGCCUAUCAGCUUGUUGGUGAGGUAAUGGCCCACCAAGGCGAUUACAGGUACGGGCUCUGAGAGGAGAAGCCCGGAGAUGGGUACUGAGACACGGACCCAGGCCCUAUGGGGCGCAGCAGGCGAGAAACCUUAGCAAUGUGCGAAAGCACGACUGGGUCAGUCCGAGUGAUUCCUGAUAAAGGAGUCUUUUGCUUGUCCUAAAAGCACAGGUGAAUAAGGGGUGGGCAAGUCUGGUGUCAGCCGCCGCGGUAAUACCAGCACCUCGAGUGGUCAGGACGUUUAUUGGGCCUAAAGCAUCCGUAGCCGGCUCUGCAAGUCUUCGGUUAAAUCCACCUGCUCAACAGAUGGGCCGCUGGAGAUACUACAGAGCUAGGGAGUGGGAGAGGCAGACGGUAUUCAGUGGGUAGGGGUAAAAUCCUCUGAUCCAUUGAGGACCACCAGUGGCGAAGGCGGUCUGCCAGAACACGUUCGACGGUGAGGGAUGAAAGCUGGGGGAGCAAACCGGAUUAAAUACCCGGGUAGUCCCAGCUGUAAACGAUGCAAACUCGGUGAUGCAUUGGCUUAUGGCCAAUGCAGUGCCGCAGGGAAGCCGUUAAGUUUGCCGCCUGGGGAAGUACGGACGCAAGUCUGAAACUUAAAGGAAUUGGCGGGGGAGCACCACAAGGGGUGAAGCCUGCGGUUCAUUGGAGUCAACGCCGGG
This 913-nucleotide ribosomal RNA is filed under the name uncultured archaeon. RNAcentral describes it as "bacterial SSU rRNA". It matches the Rfam family "Archaeal small subunit ribosomal RNA", at positions 1 to 922 of the family's 1478-position model. The record is from RNAcentral.